This 383-nucleotide ribosomal RNA is filed under the name Algicola sp. RNAcentral's name for it is "bacterial SSU rRNA". It matches the Rfam family "Bacterial small subunit ribosomal RNA", at positions 1 to 377 of the family's 1533-position model. The record is from RNAcentral. Lineage: Bacteria; Pseudomonadati; Pseudomonadota; Gammaproteobacteria; Alteromonadales; Pseudoalteromonadaceae.
UAACGAUGAAGAGUUUGAUCCUGGCUCAGGAUGAACGCUAGCGGCAGGCCUAACACAUGCAAGUCGAACGGUAACAUUGGUUGCUUGCAACCAGAUGACGAGUGGCGCACGGGUGCGUAACGCGUAUACAACCUACCUUUUACAGGGAGAUAGCCUUUAGAAAUGAAGAUUAAUACCCCAUAGUAAGUGACUGUGGCAUCACAGACACUUUAAAGCUUCGGUGGUAAGAGAUGGGUAUGCGUUCUAUUAGCUAGAUGGUGUGGUAACGGCACACCAUGGCAACGAUAGAUAGGGGCCCUGAGAGGGGGAUCCCCCACACUGGUACUGAGACACGGACCAGACUCCUACGGGAGGCAGCAGUGAGGAAUAUUGGACAAUGGGCG